CCGGGACCCCGGCGGCCGCGCGCGGAAACGAGCGCGGCCCCUCAGGCCGCUCCGCCGCCCCGGCCCCCGCCCCGGUAGCUCUUCCUCUACACGUUCUCCUGCUGCUCCUGUCUGACACCACGCACUUCUUGCCCGCUCCCUCUUCCACCCCACGGCCAGGCAGCGCCGAGCGCUUUCCCGAGGCACCGGGACGGACACUGGGGCGGGAUCUCCCGCCGUCCCCCUCAGCCCCGCUCCCGGCACGGCUGCUGCCCGCCCCCGGGAGCCGGCCAGGACUCCAGCCAAAGCGGUGGAUAUAGGAAUCUGGGAUAACCGGUAAAUAUGGCAACGCACGUAACUGUUGUUAUGCUCUAAAGAUUUCAGUAUGAGACAAGCAACUAGACAGCUCUUUCUGAGACAUAUGCAAGUUUGUUUUUAUAAAAUCGAUGUAAUUCUUCCAGCAUUUAAAGUAGUUCUUUGAAGUGAGCUCCCUGAACACAAGAUUCGUUUGUGAAGAGCUGGCAGGUGUCUCAUUACACACACACGCACACAGAUAUCAGGAGCUGCUUCCUUUCCCCCAGCAUACCUGAUCUCUCUGCUCCAUGCAAGACCCUCCUUCAGCUUUCUCUGGCAAACUUCAGGAUGAUGCUGUCUGUGGAAACUGUUAAAAACAAAAACAUAUGCGCCUUUGUGGUGAUGUCGUUUGGAUAUUUUGUUUUGAAUGCUCUUUAAGGCCUGUUUUAACACAGGCCUCUGCCCAUGGGCACACAAUAAAAUACAAUGCAAUAUGAAGACUGAUGUUCUCCAUCUAACCUUGUCACUGUUCAGUUACCAGUUUGUUGUGAUUCUCUUAAAUAUACUAUUUCAGAAUUAUGAUUUCACAGCCUCUGCCAGAUACAAAAUAACAGAUUCUGUGUGGCAUUUGGAAAGGAGACAGCUCCUCACACCAAAACCGCAGUGUUGCUGUUGUUCUCAUGGUGAUGAUACUUAGUGCUGUGUUUGCCUUUUGGCACAAACGUCUGGAGAAGGUAGUUGUUUUCUGAAUCUGCAUCCACAAGCAGUAUCACCUAAAUUGUGCUGUCCUGAGAAGAAUGGACUCGUGGGAACACAGGAAACUUUGUCACAACAAGAGUUUGUUGCAUUGGGUGACACAAACUUAGAGCUUUCAAGAAUGUAUUUUAAUGAUUUUAAUAACAAGGAAAAGACAUGCACAAUAAGUAAUAACAUAAAAGGCCCUUUGGCCAUAUUUUAUAAUGCUCCACACACUUUGCUUACUUUACCUGAUGGAGUUUGAGUUUCCCCAAAAAAUGCUUUAAGAGAAAGGGAAUAAUUUAUUAUUUUUCCCAAGACUGAGACCUGCUGGUAUCUGUGAUACAAUAAUGUGUUUAAAAGCUCCAUACCAAUAUUUUGGUUUCCUGCAUAAAAAAGUCUCCAUCAUCACAGAAGAGAUACUUAUUAAGAUCGUGAUUUGAAAAACACAAACAAUGAAGGCCUCAAAAGGAUUACUUUUUUUUUUAACUGACAUCCUGAAAAUGUAUGAAUGUGUUGAAAACAGCUUUAGCCACUUGCAAGAACCUGUGGAAAAAUAAAACAAGUUUCCUUGAGUCUGAGGCUUACA
RNAcentral lists this long non-coding RNA (1597 nucleotides) under Parus major (Great Tit). RNAcentral's name for it is "lncRNA (ENSPMJG00000019322.1)". The record is from RNAcentral. Lineage: Eukaryota; Metazoa; Chordata; Aves; Passeriformes; Paridae.